Molecule: long non-coding RNA, 232 nt
Organism: Haliotis rubra (blacklip abalone)
Lineage: Eukaryota; Metazoa; Mollusca; Gastropoda; Lepetellida; Haliotidae
Exons: 2
Source: RefSeq, a predicted model, not a curated record
GCAUCAAUGACAACCGAGGUGAAAAUCACAAGCAUCACCCUGUAGCCAGCCCCACAAACAAACAGCCAAGUGAAAGUCACUCAUAUCACAUGGGUAGAUGAGAGCCUCCACACACACUCACAAACCCCACCACACACACAAACAGCUGAAGUGAAAGUCUCAACAACACCCUGGAGGUAGCGGAGAACGUCCACAAACCCCACCACACACACAAACAGCUGAAGUGAAAGUC